AGCGAACGCUGGCGGCAGGCUUAACACAUGCAAGUCGAGCGGGCACUUCGGUGUCAGCGGCAGACGGGUGAGUAACACGUGGGAACGUGCCCUUCGGUUCGGAAUAACUCAGGGAAACUUGAGCUAAUACCGGAUACGCCCUUUGGGGGAAGGUUUACUGCCGAAGGAUCGGCCCGCGUCUGAUUAGCUAGUUGGUGGGGUAAGUGGCCUACCAAGGCGACGAUCAGUAGCUGGUCUGAGAGGAUGAUCAGCCACACUGGGACUGAGACACGGCCCAGACUCCUACGGGAGGCAGCAGUGGGGAAUAUUGGACAAUGGGCGCAAGCCUGAUCCAGCCAUGCCGCGUGAGUGAUGAAGGCCUUAGGGUUGUAAAGCUCUUUCGACGGGGACGAUAAUGACGGUACCGUA
This 408-nucleotide ribosomal RNA is filed under the name uncultured bacterium. Its description in RNAcentral is "bacterial SSU rRNA". It matches the Rfam family "Bacterial small subunit ribosomal RNA", at positions 29 to 464 of the family's 1533-position model. The record is from RNAcentral.